Molecule: ribosomal RNA, 371 nt
Filed under: uncultured organism
Description: bacterial SSU rRNA
Rfam family: Bacterial small subunit ribosomal RNA
Source: RNAcentral
CGGAGGGUGCAAGCAUUGAUCGGAAUUACUGGGCGUAAAGGGCGCGUAGGCGGCUGGAAAAGUCGGAUGUGAAAUUCCGGGGCUCAACCCCGGAGCUGCAUUUGAAACUUUCUAGCUAGAGGUAGGUAAGGGAAAACGGAAUUCCACGUGUAGCGGUGAAAUGCGUAGAGAUGUGGAAGAACAUCAGUGGCGAAAGCGGCUUCCUGGACCAGUACCGACGUUCAGGCACGAAAGCGUGGGGAGCAAACAGGAUUAGAUACCCUGGUAGUCCACGCCAUAAACGAUGAGGACUAGACGUUGGAGGGGUAAGCCUUUCAGUGUCGUAGCUAACGCGCUAAGUCCUCCGCCUGGGGAGUACGGCCGCAAGGUUG